UACGAAGGGGGCAAGCGUUGUUCGGAAUUACUGGGCGUAAAGGGCGCGUAGGCGGCUUAUCAAGUCAGGCGUGAAAUUCCCGGGCUCAACCUGGGGGCUGCGCUUGAUACUGAUUGGCUUGAAUGCGGGAGAGGAUAGUGGAAUUCCCAGUGUAGAGGUGAAAUUCGUAGAUAUUGGGAAGAACACCGGUGGCGAAGGCGGCUAUCUGGCCCGUAAUUGACGCUGAGGCGCGAAAGCGUGGGGAGCAAACGGG
This 253-nucleotide ribosomal RNA is filed under the name uncultured bacterium. RNAcentral describes it as "partial 16S ribosomal RNA". It matches the Rfam family "Bacterial small subunit ribosomal RNA", at positions 524 to 776 of the family's 1533-position model. The record is from RNAcentral.